GUAGGUGGCAAGCGUUGUCCGGAAUUAUUGGGGCGUAAAGCGCGCGCAGGCGGUUCUUUAAGUCUGAUGUGAAAGCCCACGGGCUCAACCGUGGAGGGUCAUUGGAAACUGGAGAACUUGAGUACAGAAGAGGAAAGCGGAAUUCCACGUGUAGCGGUGAAAUGCGUAGAGAUGUGGAGGAACACCAGUGGCGAAGGCGGCUUUCUGGCCUGUAACUGACGCUGAGGCGCGAAAGCGUGGGGAGCAAACAGGAUUAGAUACCCUGGUAGUCCACGCCGUAAACGAUGAGUGCUAAGUGUUAGGGGGUUUCCGCCCCUUAGUGCUGCAGCUAACGCAUUAAGCACUCCGCCUGGGGAGUACGGCCGCAAAGGCUGA
RNAcentral lists this ribosomal RNA (375 nucleotides) under uncultured organism. RNAcentral's name for it is "partial 16S ribosomal RNA". It matches the Rfam family "Bacterial small subunit ribosomal RNA", at positions 527 to 897 of the family's 1533-position model. The record is from RNAcentral.